This is a long non-coding RNA of Sinocyclocheilus rhinocerous, 245 nucleotides long. RefSeq lists it as uncharacterized. The record is from RefSeq and is a predicted model, not a curated record. The transcript has 3 exons. Lineage: Eukaryota; Metazoa; Chordata; Actinopteri; Cypriniformes; Cyprinidae.
GUCUUCCGCUGCUUCAUUUGCAUGGAAAAGCUGCGUGAUGCUCGUCUCUGCCCUCACUGUUCCAAACUGUGCUGUUUCAGCUGCAUCCGGCGAUGGCUGACUGAACAGAGAGCUCAGUGUCCCCACUGUCGAGCUCCGCUUCAGCUGAGGGAACUGGUCAACUGUCGCUGGGCAGAGGAAGUGACUCAACAACUGGACACACUGCAGCUCUGCAACCUCACAAAACAUGAGGAGAACGACAAAGA